RNAcentral lists this ribosomal RNA (441 nucleotides) under uncultured bacterium. Its description in RNAcentral is "bacterial SSU rRNA". It matches the Rfam family "Bacterial small subunit ribosomal RNA", at positions 28 to 480 of the family's 1533-position model. The record is from RNAcentral.
GACGAACGCUGGCGGCGUGCCUAACACAUGCAAGUCGAGCGGGGUCCAUCCGGUAGCAAUACCGGGGAAGACCUAGCGGCGAACGGGUGAGUAACACGUGAGAAACCUGCCCCGAAGUCUGGGAUAACCCGAGGAAACUCGAGCUAAUACCGGAUGUCUUCUUCUAAUCGCAUGGUCGGAUGAAGAAAGAUUUAUCGCUUCGGGAGGGUCUCGCGGCCUAUCAGCUAGUUGGCGGGGUAACGGCCCACCAAGGCGUCGACGGGUAGCUGGUCUGAGAGGACGAUCAGCCACACUGGGACUGAGACACGGCCCAGACUCCUACGGGAGGCAGCAGUGGGGAAUAUUGCGCAAUGGGCGAAAGCCUGACGCAGCAACGCCGCGUGCGGGAUGAAGGCCUCGGUUGUAAACCGCUUUCAGUGGGACGAAGUUCAGACGGUACCC